Molecule: small RNA, 88 nt
Filed under: Flavobacterium sp. 1
Lineage: Bacteria; Pseudomonadati; Bacteroidota; Flavobacteriia; Flavobacteriales; Flavobacteriaceae
Description: Flavo-1 RNA
Rfam family: Flavo-1 RNA
Source: RNAcentral
AUAAUGCCCGCGUGAGGGAUAGUAGUGGAGCUCUUUUUUCUUGAUUUUUCAUCAAGAAAAAAAGCGGGAACGAAUAGCCCGACCCGAC